UACGUAGGGUGCGAGCGUUGUCCGGAAUUAUUGGGCGUAAAGAGCUCGUAGGCGGUUUGGCAAGUCGGGUGUGAAAACUCCGGGCUCAACUCGGAGACGCCACUCGAUACUGCCAUGACUCGAGUCCGGUAGGGGAGUGCGGAAUUCCUGGUGUAGCGGUGAAAUGCGCAGAUAUCAGGGGGAACACCGGUGGCGAAGGCGGCACUCUGGGCCGGUACUGACGCUGAGGAGCGAAAGCGUGGGGAGCGAACAGG
Molecule: ribosomal RNA, 254 nt
Filed under: uncultured bacterium
Lineage: Bacteria
Description: partial 16S ribosomal RNA
Rfam family: Bacterial small subunit ribosomal RNA
Source: RNAcentral